CCCUCUUUUCCUCCCUAUUCUCUCUCUGUACCAAUUCAAUCACUUCUUCCACCACCACAACCUUCUUUCACCACCAUAACAACCAAAUCCGGCCAAAAAGAAGCACACACCAUUUCACAGAUAUGAUAACGGUAACGGCCACUUUCAUCAGGUCGGAGAUGUUUAGAAUGACCGGAAAUCACAGAUCUCUCUCUCUCGGAACGACCUAAAAGAACCACUACGGCGGCCGGACUUGAAUCAACCUCCGAUUAUCUUUCUCUCUCUUGGAACGACCAAGAACUGUGACGGCCGGAGACUCGUUGAUAACUCUGUUGAUUUCUAUUAGAUUUAGCCUAAUUCAAUUAUGUGUAUAAGAAGUUCAUUAUUUUGUAAAGUAAUUGAAAUGAUCUUUAUUUUGAGUUUUUCAAAAAGUCAUAGCAUGGACAAUUAGGGCUUGAAGGUUAGUAUUCUGUUGAAAUUAGUAGAAUUUAAGAACAAAAGAAUUUUGCUGUGAAGAAAUAGUUGACAAAUCAUUCGUCCGUGUAAAGCAAUAUAAGAGUCAACAUCAAUUGCUUUAUUUUUUUUAA
This is a long non-coding RNA of Helianthus annuus (common sunflower), 566 nucleotides long. RefSeq lists it as uncharacterized. Lineage: Eukaryota; Viridiplantae; Streptophyta; Magnoliopsida; Asterales; Asteraceae. The record is from RefSeq and is a predicted model, not a curated record. The transcript has 2 exons.